GCCUGCCGCCGCCGGGGCCGGGGCGGGCGGGGCAGCGGGAAGCACGUUGCGAGGGAGGAGGCGCAGGGAGCGCGGCUGGGAGCGGGCCGAGCGCUGAUCCCGCCCCGCCCCGUGCGCUGGAGCGAGCCAGACCGGGCCCCCCUUACUCCUGACAGCCCCCCCCCCCCACAAGACUCGCUUUUCACGCUCGCGAGGCUGCCCUGAGGCCCAGGCAAUGACCUACUGAGUCCCCCCUAGCAAGGGACAGACAAGGCAGUAAGAGGUGGCUUUGUAAAUAGGUUUGCAGCAACAGACAGACAAAGGAAACUCCCUUGCUGGCCGAGGAGAGCUCCUUGGACAUCAAGUAAGGGCAAUGCUGCUCCGACCCACCUCAGUUCCUUUGCACCAAAUAUCAAGAGUUGAGACUCUGAUGCCGAGGCGAUAGAGGACAGCUUUAAAAAGCUCGCUCCUAAGCAACCAGAGGAGCUAGCGAACAGGAGCGGCUAACAGGAGUUUCGUGAGGGAGUUCGCCAGGUAAAGGAGGACCCUUGGGGCCUAUAGUUGAGAUGCCCCAUUCCGUGAAGACGGACCUCAGCACAUUGGUCUUCAGAGAAAUUCCUGGUGAAGUGAUUGGUCAAGUGAUUCUGGACCCACUCUCCCUGGAGCUGAGGACUGGAGAAUAUGCAGCAACUUAAUUGAUUCAUAGAUUCUAAGGCCAGAAGGGAUAUCUUCCUCUUCUCCCUCACCUUCUCAGUAUAGCUCUUAAAAAGCUGUCGUGACCUCCUGGGGAUCACCAUCGGCACCAAGAUCAGCACCACUCCCAUAGCAGUGAUGGAUCCUUCACUCACUUCCACCAAUACCGUGCCCCUCCGUAGAGUGGCCUCCUGAGAACCCCUGUGAUGUUCCACAGAAAGCAAGAUCCUGAUCUUUAGUUCAGUCCAGAGUGAGGUCACCUAUUCUGCUGGCAGCCUCCUCUCCUGAAUCUCGAUGCUGCAAUCAGACAUGGGUUGCUCUUGCUAAACUGGUUGCACCCGAACCGGUGUUACAGUUGCUGUAGGAGAUCCCAUUUGCUUUCUUCCUUCCACUGCCUCACCAAAAGACUGCAGUGCCAGAUUCUUCAUUCUCUGUACCUGAGGAUUUUAAAUUUUAUCAGGAUCUCCUGAGGCACAUGUCUUCAGCCUUGAGUAUUCAGGCUGUUUGUUGAGGAGAACACCUGGGAGAGGAACAUGAAUCUGUCCGAACAGCCCAUGCUGGCUCACAUGCUCUUUGAGGUGCUGAAGCAGGUUUCGUGACCUGCUCCUGAAGAUGUUGCUGCUUCAAGUGCAAGUCUCUGGCCACUUGCAUUCUCCUCUUGAGCAACUUGCAGAUGGAGCACCUUUCUUUAAUAUGCCCUUUCCCAAGGCACAAACAUUGAGUGCAGGGGUUUGCCACUGUGGAUAGCUACCCUACACAAUGGGCAGUGUUUAAAUCCCAGUGAGGGCACCACAUGGGGCAAAUCCUAUUAUUAAUAAACUAAACGUAAAGGUACUUCUAAGCUAACAAUACAAAGAAAAAAACCCACGGACUGCACUGUGAACCAAAGCAGGAGGUAAAAACCACACUGAGUGCUCCAACUCAAGAAGCAGAUGGUGAGAAGGAAUUGAGGGGGUUUGGGGCAAUGCUGCUCUUAAACAGUCAGGGGAGGGGUUAAGUGCCUGGAGGGUGCAAGCACCACAUUUAGAGAUACUACUAGGCAAAGUUCUCUGGCUUCCGUGUGCUGGACAUGCACACCUGAGUGGAACAUACAUCUGCAACCAAAGAAUAGAGAGCUCAGAGGUUCUCUAUCUUUGUCACAGGGGGAGGCAGGGAAAGAAUGACUUGUUAAAUAAUUUCAUAGCUCUUCUUUCCCAUUCCCCAUCCUGCUGCCUGCAGUUCAAAAUGUUUUAUUGUGUGGCUCUGCCAUCGGCUAUACAAAUGCUAAUUAUUAACAUAAUUUUACCAACCGUCAGUAGUUAGUACUAUAUCAGUACCUACUAAUAUUAGACAAAAACGGCAACUUCUGCCACCACUUUGUGAUCUUCUAAACUGCUCCCACAAGCUCAGUUUCCUUUUAUUCCUCUUCCUCACAGGUUCCUUAUUGUACUAACCAGCCUUUUGGUUGAUGGAGGACAUGAGUUCCUGCACAACCCUUUGAAACACUCCAAGUGGCCAGAGAGGUGACAACAUAGUGGCUAAAGGCAUCCUCUCGUCAGUUCCAGGGAUGCUUUAAUGCUCCCAUACCUUGUCCGGCACACAGCACACCAUUUUAAGAUCAUCAGAAUGGUUUCUCAUCAGGGGCAUUCAUGAAAGAGUACACCAUUUCCCCAGCUCUCUGUGCUCCAUUCUUUUCAGAGAGCAGGGAACUGAAGCAUGUAAUCCUAGCAACCUUAGUCAUAAUGGAACAGUCCAUUGUUAGGCAAUUCCACUGUAUGCAGAAACUUCUGCUCAAAAUUAUGGAGCUAGGAAUAUUCAGCAAAUUGAUGGCAUUUGAUUUUGGGUAAUUGACAGGCCUGUGCUUUUCAUUGGUUUUAAUUUUUACAAGAGCAUGCGGAGCUUUGAAUGGGAACAUUUAUUGAAAUACAUAAAAACCCAACUAAAUAAAUGAUUGGGUGAACAAAGCUGUAGGGGUUAUUCUUCUCCCCUCAUUGUACACCAACAUUCCUUGCACCUGCCAUUUCUGUUUUUGAAACAGAGUCCUCCAUACAUAUCACAAAUUGCUUUAGGGAAAAAUCACAGACUAAACUGAACAAGAUAAGCAAGGCACGACAGAGAGGAAGUGACUCAAAAACUCUGAAGGGUUACCGUUACUCUUUCAUGCACUGCUCCAUGUACCUCCUGCAGAGUAGCAGGGAAUAGGAGUGGAGCAGGCAGGCAAAGGAGUACGUGUACAGGUCAGAGAGAACAGCUGAAUGAGCAGGUAGGGUGGUUGUAAAACCAGGGGAGCAAAUUUGAAUGGAGGGAGGUAGGAAGCUAGAUGGGGCCAAUAUGACCUGGCUUCCCUAAAAGCAAGUGUCUCUCACUGCAGCAUUCUGGACCUCCUGGUUCCUAACAAGUAGUCCAUGCACUACUGGUAGCCCAGAGAGCUGUCUGGUUGCAUUGUGUUGGCUCUCAUCUGUUUCCAGCAGCUCUGUAUAAUUUCAUUAGAUCAUAAGAAUGGCCAUACUGGGUCCACCUAGCCCAGUAUCCUGUCUUCUGACAGUGGCCAAUGCCAGGUGCUUCAGAAGGAAUGAACAGAACAGGCAAUCAUCAAGUGAUCCAUCCCCUGUCCUCCACCCUCAACUUCUGGCAAACAGAGGAUAGGCACACUUGGAGCAUGGUGUUGCAUAUUAGCCCAUCCUGGCUAAUAGCUACUGAUGUUCAGAUAGCUAAACAUACAGUAAAUACUUUCCAACUAUUACUUGUCCACAGAAACAAUUGCUGUAGUUGCCAUAGUGGUUUUAUUCACUGGUGAAUUGCAGGGAAGGGCUCUAUGAUACAGUGUGGACCUCAUUUUAAUUAGACCCUAUGAAAAUGUAUGAAGA
Molecule: long non-coding RNA, 3518 nt
Organism: Chrysemys picta bellii (western painted turtle)
Lineage: Eukaryota; Metazoa; Chordata; Testudines; Emydidae
Source: RefSeq, a predicted model, not a curated record